This 312-nucleotide unclassified non-coding RNA is filed under the name Hevea brasiliensis (rubber tree). Lineage: Eukaryota; Viridiplantae; Streptophyta; Magnoliopsida; Malpighiales; Euphorbiaceae. The record is from RNAcentral.
UAAAAAAAAAAAAAAAAAAUCUGAAGCACCCGGCCCUUAACCUUCUCUAAUUUUUAAUUUAAAAGGAUUAAAAUGUGGAACAACAAAAAAAUUAGUCCUCACUAUAUAUUCAUUUCUCAAAUUUUUUUUUUUCUGUUUUUCCACUUUAUUGGUAUUGAUAUGGACAAGAAGCUUAUCUUCGCUCUGGGCCUUCUCUGUCGCGAAUAGGAUCCCUUCCUUUGUACACGUAAAAGGACAAUAUUAACCUCACCAAAUAAAGGAAAAUAUCAGAUUACGAAAAAAAAAAAAAAAAACUAUUUUUUUUUUUAAUGA